RNA transcript from Rhineura floridana, 2127 nucleotides. It is a transcript of the gene named YLP motif-containing protein 1-like, with no coding region annotated. Lineage: Eukaryota; Metazoa; Chordata; Lepidosauria; Squamata; Rhineuridae. The transcript has 2 exons. The record is from RefSeq and is a predicted model, not a curated record.
UCUGCGAAUUGGUCUGUUUGCCUGCUGGUUGGAGUUCGUGCCUGGUCUAGUUCAAACGCGAGGUUUCUUGCUGAAGAGAGCUGUUGGUCAGGUAGCAAGGUAGACUUUGUGUCUAUUGACCAAUCCAUUAUCUCGGCCGCUGUUUUCAAGGCAGGAGAAUCAUAGGAAAGGCCGUUCAGACAGGCAUCUUCAUUGAGAGUGAGUCCCUGAAAGUGAUCCAUCUACAUUCCCUACUUGGAUUCGCUUAUUACCUCACUUAGGACUCCUUUCAGUGAUGAAAACCAACCUGCUUACAGUUUGCUGAAGCAACAUCCAUCUGAGAAGUACCACCCUGAAGAAACAGACUUUCAAGCCCAUGUCAGUGCCAUUCAGGAAUGAUACAAAUUGGAAAACUUUGGGGAUGAGUCUGUUACGUGGCAUGAGUUGUGGGCAAGAAGACAUACCAAAGAAACGUGACGUGCAACAUGAACCUUACUGAACUGUUGGACCCCACCAAACUGUCCUCUGCUGUUAAAAUGGCCAUCCUGACAGCACUUUCCCUCCCAGUUACAACAUGCACAACUGAACAGUCCUUUAGCACUUUGCAUAAGGUGAAGACACGGCUACAUCAAUGAGUGAAGAUCGAAUGACAGGCUUGUGUUUGCUGAGUGUCCAUAGAGAAACAUUGACGACCUUUCUCAAGGAGAAAUUUAUAAAAUAAGUUAUUGACCAUUUGUUUAAAGAAUGGCUCAUUUUGUAUUGUUUUCUGUCAUGGACAGACAAGCACUAACAAAAGGUUUCUGUCAUGUUAUGGACAUACAAACACCAAUAAAAAUGGUCUGACUGGUUUCAGACCUUAUGUCUGGAAUUCUACACCACAGCCAUGGAAGAUUCUGUGGAAAAGAUAUAACCCAUAAAGUGGUUUAAUCUGCUUUAGAGUACUAGAGUCCUAUAUCAUUGUUGUUCAGUGGACAAAUGCAUGUCUUUCUAGUGCCUUACUCUGUUAUUGUUAAAUGGGCAAAUAAAGCAAUUUGUUAGAAGUUAGUCCUGAAAUGUAUUCUGAAAUGUAUAAUCCCAGUUAAUUACCAACAACAGUUAAUUACCAACAGGCACAAGCCGCCAUGGUUUCUCAUUCCUUCUCUUCAGCAUUGUGUAUCAGAAUCAAAAUGUUUAUUGCGGUCAAGUGACCCAUACAGAAAAUAUGGAAUACAAGAAUAAAAUAGUAUACAGUGAUAUAAAUGUUAAAAGAAACCAAAUACAAUAUGAGAGCAAAGUAAAAUCUAUAGUAGGACUUUCAGAACAAAGAUUUGGAUCGGUUGGAUUGGGCUGCAUGAACAAAUUUAGCUACUGAGAUUGUAAGGGACCUAUCUGAGCCUGCCAAGAGAAAGAGUAACAGACACUCGGGAGAUUUGUUAGAGAACUUUUUAGUAAUUGGUAAUAUAUAUCGAUAGCGUUCCGACGAAUACAAUGGGCAGACAAAAAAUACAUGUAGAAGGGUUUCUAUAGUACCCGCUUCACAGGGACAAAUACGUUGGUCAUAAGCUAUUCCCUGGUAUCUCCCUUCCAACAGUGCUGAGGUUAGGCAGUUGAAUCUGGCCUUGGCAAAUGCUUGCCGAUAUUUAGGAACCGUUAGAAAAUCUAAGUAUAGGGCGUGAUUCAAUGGGACAAAGCUCAAUUUAUGGUGCAGGGGUGAGCAGACUUUAGAUGCCGCAUAGAUGGAGCUUUGGAGAUCUAUAUCCCUAAGUCGGGUUCUUAUAGUGUGAUUGGCCAUUACAAAAUCUUGAGUAGAUAAAUAUUCUAAAGAGAGGCCUAACCUGGGAAGUUUAACAUGAAAGGAUUUCAUCCAUGUGGAAAGGUAAGAGUCAUUCCAGAGAAGUGCUAGAUACCCAGGUGGACAGUCAUAGGAUAGUUUAAGCCAAUAGUUGAAGGCAAUAGACCAAGCUUGGCAUUCCAUCGAGGUUAGACCAGCUUCUAACCUAAGGGCGGCAUUCGGGACACAACUAGGGACACCAAAGAUUUGUCGUAAAAAAAUUGAAAGUACAGAUUCUACUGUAGUAUUAUAAGUGCAAAUCCAAAGAGGAGCACCAUAUAGUAGUUGAGGGAUGAUCUUGGAUCUAAAAACCUGUAAAGCUGCAGGAAUAAAUUGUC